This 67-nucleotide transfer RNA is filed under the name Ceyx cyanopectus (Indigo-banded kingfisher). RNAcentral's name for it is "tRNA-Cys". Lineage: Eukaryota; Metazoa; Chordata; Aves; Coraciiformes; Alcedinidae. The record is from RNAcentral.
GGUUUUGUAGUGAAAUUCAUGUUGAGUUGCAAGCUCAUCGAUGUGUGCUAAGAGCAUGCCAAGACCU